Molecule: ribosomal RNA, 460 nt
Filed under: uncultured bacterium
Lineage: Bacteria
Description: partial 16S ribosomal RNA
Rfam family: Bacterial small subunit ribosomal RNA
Source: RNAcentral
CCUACGGGUGACAGCAGUGAGGAAUAUUGGUCAAUGGGCGCGAGCCUGAACCAGCCAAGUAGCGUGAAGGAUGACUGCCCUACGGGUUGUAAACUUCUUUUAUAAAGGAAUAAAGUGAGGCACGUGUGCCUUUUUGUAUGUACUUUAUGAAUAAGGAUCGGCUAACUCCGUGCCAGCAGCCGCGGUAAUACGGAGGAUCCGAGCGUUAUCCGGAUUUAUUGGGUGUAAAGGGUGCGUAGACGGGUUGUAAAGUCAGUUGUGAAAGGUGCAGGCUCAACCGUAAAAUUGCAAUUGAUACUGGCAAGCUGGAAUGCGGUAGAGGUAAAGGGAAUUCGUGGUGUAGCGGUGAAAUGCUUAGAUAUCAGGAGGAACAUCGGUGGCGUAAGCGCUUUACUGGGCCGUAAUUGACGCUGAGGAACGAAAGUGAGGGUAGCAAAUGGGAUUAGAUACCCCUGUAGUC